RNAcentral lists this ribosomal RNA (248 nucleotides) under uncultured soil bacterium. RNAcentral's name for it is "partial 16S ribosomal RNA". It matches the Rfam family "Bacterial small subunit ribosomal RNA", at positions 26 to 288 of the family's 1533-position model. The record is from RNAcentral.
AGGACAAACGCUGGCGGCGUGUAUUAGGCAUGCAAGUCGCACGGACACUUCGGUGUCAGUGGCGGACGGGUGAGUAACACGUGGGUAACCUGCCCUACAGUGGGAAUAACUCGCCGAAAGGCGAGCUAAUACCGCAUUCGACUUCCGGUGAGAAUCCGGAUAGUGAAAGCAGUAAUGCGCUGAAGGAGGGCCCGCGGCCGAUUAGCUUGUUGGUGGGUAAUAGCCUACCAAGGCGACGAUCGGUAGCU